RNAcentral lists this long non-coding RNA (16001 nucleotides) under Coffea arabica (coffee). RNAcentral's name for it is "long non-coding RNA (CARA_LNC003604)". Lineage: Eukaryota; Viridiplantae; Streptophyta; Magnoliopsida; Gentianales; Rubiaceae. The record is from RNAcentral.
UUUUUUUUUAUGUGAUAUAUAAUAUGUUACUUUUAUUAUAAGUAGUUGAGUAACUGUGAACUCUUAAUUAGUUUAUAGGUACUUAAAUUGUUGAAUUACUAGAUUAAUACACUUUAUAAUAUAAGCCACAUAUAUUUUGUAAUAACAAAGAGUUUAUGACAAAUUAUUAAGAAUGAAUUUAACAAAUAAACAAAUUUAAAAAGCAGUUUAAAAAUUUUUAAAAUUUUUAAUGUAAGUCUUUUCACAUCGGAGAGAGCUGUUGGCUAGUUCCAAGAGAGAAUGAGAACAAAAAGAAAAUAAAAGAAAAAAAAUUAAAAAAGCUAAUAGAGAAAAAAGAAGAAGAAAGGAUUUAAGACAGUAGGGGUAGUAUUGUCCAAACAUAUCAUUUAAGGGGGCAAAAUGUCUAUUAUUAUAGUUUAGGGGGUAAACUGCAACUGGGUAUAUAGUUUGUGGGGGUUUUUUGCAUUUAACCCUUGAAAAUAGCAGAAACAAGAAUCUAUAUAUGCAUGUAAAAGCUAUAAAUAGCAACUAGUACUUUUUAAGCCAUUCCUCGCAUUUCCUUCGCCGCCUUUCUCUCCUUACCAAUUACCGCCUCUCCCUUUUUGAUUACCUUGAGAUGAGAUAGUGUCAUAUUCAUACAAUAUUUUCUCUCUGUAUUUCUUUCUUUAUUUCUCAACACCCUAAAAACCCAUCGGGGGGGAAGGAAAAAGAAGAAGAAGAAGAAGAAGAAGGGGAUUUGCAAAACUUUGUAAUAUCGGUUUGAUUUUUGCUUCAACCUUAGCAUUGCCGGACGGAGGCGAUAAAAUGGCGCCCCGUCUCUUUUCAUGCUUUGGCAGAGGCGCCUCUUCAUCUUCACACCAAGGAACCUCGUCCGAGAUUGCCACCGCAGACAUAUCGGCUGAGGAGCAGAGGAGGGGGGGGCCGGUGGUGGUGGAGCUCUUUACGUCACAGGGAUGCGCCACCUCGGCUCAGGCGGAGCUACUCUUCUCAAGGCUGGGAAGGGGGGAUUUCGAGCUCGAGAUGCCGCUGGUAUUGUUAGCUUACCAUGUUGACUACUGGGAUUACCAGGGCUGGAAGGACCCUUUUGGGUCAAGCCUGUGGACUGCUAGGCAAAAGGCCUAUGUCGAGGCCCUAAACCUUGAUACGAUGUUCACACCUCAAGUUGUGGUCCAGGGCCGAGCCCAAUGUGUUGUCAAUGAAGAAGAUCCUAUGUUGUCCUGCAUCACGUCCGCACCAAGGGUCCCUGCUCCCUCUUUCCAGGUUAGCAAAACUUCAACAUCAUUUCUUGAAUCAAUAGUGGCUUUACAUGAGAAAUUCUAACUAAAUCCUUAAGAUUUUUGGUGUAGUAUUUCUUCCAACGAUUGCAUCGACAUAUAGAGUUGUGGAUCAAUGAAUACUGUUUACCGUUUUUCCCUUUUUAAUGCAAAAGAUAUACACCGUUAAGCAUGGGUCAAAUUUAUACGACUUUUUCGUCUACAAUGGUAAACAUUUAAUUUAAUUUAACGAGGACCCGAGCCAAUGCUCUCAUUUUUAUGUCUCUAGUUUGUUUUUCCUUUUGGUUGGGUUGAGGGAGGUGAAUACAAAAGAUGCUUGCGAAGAGAACUAUUAUCCUUUUUCUUUCUAGGGGUUUUGGACCCUCGAGUCAAGUUCAAAGAGAACUAUUUACCUAAGCUAAAACCUCCACAUAACUCUGAAAAGUUCACAUAAUUACUAUAUAUCAAUCGUGGUACUUGUACGGUAAGGAAGUGGGGUUGGUAAACCUUUUUUUUUUUUUUAAAUUGAAGGCCUUAGUUAGCAUUCUCUUGUUCUCUUAUUUUACACUGAUUAAGCUGUAUUAGUUGUUGUUAUAAUUAAACCAAUCAUGUUUUGUUUACUACUUUUUUUCAUAUGCUUUUCAUUAAUACUAGAUGACUCAUUCAAAAUGCUAGAUGAUUUAUAUUGAUUAAAUUAUUCUUGAGAUUUACUAGUACUAUUUAGUUUUUCGAAUACAAGCUCGAUGUAGUCAAUGUGAGUACAACAUUUUUUUUUUUUAUGGGGUCGAGGGACGACCUAGUCGUUGUAGGAAUACUUGUUGUCGUUGAUAACAUUUUAUUUUUUUGACUGUCUGAAAAAACGUGUGAAUGCGAGCAGGCCGCAUUCCAAAUGCCGACACCAGAAUCGCUGCAGGUGUCCCUAACAGGAGCUCUAAGGAGUAAGGUGGACCAGCAAGGCGUCAACAUCAUGGUUGCUCUAUAUGAAAGUGGUUUGGUCACCGACUGCCAGAAAGGAGAAAACAAAGGCCGCGUCAUAGCUAAUGACUUUGUCGUUCGGAAGCUUGAGAAGCUCUGCUCUGUCAAGGACAUCGCCGCUAAGAAAACUGUUUCAGGGACCGUUAAUUUCUCCCUCUGGGAAGGCUUCAAUAGCAGCAAAUGUGGAGUUGCCGUCUUUGCGCAAAAUGCCUCUCAUCACAUUUUUGGUUCGCAGAAUUUUCGAUUGCCGGAAACUCUGUGAAAGUUUGAUUCAUUGAUCUUGAGCAUGUUUCCGAGUUAUUCAUUAAACUGGAUGCCGGAUGGGAUGUCUCAUCCAUCCCUAUGGUUAAUGCAGUUGAAACUUUCCAGCUUCUACCACGUUAAUGUACAGUGCAUAUUUCGUAGGUUGUAGUUUUCUUUUCUUUUUUCAUUUUUCUUCACCUUUUCAUAUUUACUUUAUUUUCUUAGUUUCACGUGAGCUUUUAGACUUGAUGUUUCUUGGUGAUCACCAAUACUAUGGUUGAUGCGAGUAUUUCUUUUGGCAAGAGGGAAGGGCGCUUUCGAGUUUUGAUCCAUUACAAUCCCAAGUCAUAUCCUAUGAGCCCCAGAAUUAAAGUAGAAACUGCACAAAUUAUAAGGGGCUCUUCUUUUAUUUUUUAUUUUUUUGUGAAAAAAUGGUUACACUACGCAGUGCUGCCAACUCGUAACUGCCGGAACUAAUGGAUAUUGCGGGACAAGUACGGAAGGUUGCGUAUUCAGUAAUCUUUAAAGGACACAUUCAUGAAAGAACACUACCAACAACGUACAGGUCCGUUACGGCUCAUUCAUCUCAAUUGUUUGAUGCUUUAACAAAGAACCGUGCAAUUUCAGCAGAAUGCGUCAGCCGCACUUUCGAAGAUCACAUAAUCAUCUUUUAGCUCAGUGAUACAUGAGCGGUCUACAAGGCUGUAGAAUCCCAGCCAUAUUUACGCCAAAUAUAAACAUUAAUUAGUGAAAACAACGUUCGGGGAACGUGAACCGCGUCUGCCAUACCACUAAAUCAACCUGCCUCCGAGACUUCACUCAAGUUUGCUUGAAACGCUGAUCAUCAUUACAAGAUCAAACGGCCUCAAGAAUUCUAUCAAUCACCUAAAAAGAUAUUUCUCCAUAUCCUUUGGCUCAUGCCACCAAAAUCAGCCAUGCCUCACAAGAUACUUAUUAGCCGUUCAUCCAAUAGACAAUAUAACAACUAUGGCCUCUCCGCCUGUAAGUCAUCCCUUGCGGCAAGACGUGAGGGAGUAGUACUUUUUUGGCAUUCCCCUCCCAACAAAACAGAAUUAAGCAAGCUGACAGGUAAAACACAGUAACAGAUGAAGCACUAUUGGUUUCAAUUAACAAAUUUACCGUUGUUGUCACAAAAGACAGAGGAGGAAGAUGGACAGAAAAAGCAGCUCAGCCACAGGCAUCAUGUACAAAACAAUCUCGAACACCUGAAAAACUUGCUACUUCAAGCUUUCUAUCUUGAUCAGAGUUGAAUUUCAGGAAACUAAAAUGCAAUAUUUACAAAUUCGAUUAUGCCAAUGUUUCUGCUAUCUCCGUAAGACACCUUUAUGUCACAAAAAUUGAUUUCUAACCAUGUUAUUCUUCUCUACAUGGAGCACUGGACAUGUUCCUACCCCUUCCCCAAAAUACAGACGAUGCGUUUCAGGUUUAAAGCUCCGUUCAGGCAAAACAAGCACUUCCAUGAAAACCGUCUAGAUUCUACACAGAAUCUACAGCCUCGACCUGCUGCCGAGCAAGAUAUUUCUCCCUUCGCUCUUUCUACAGUACAAAUGAAAAUGAAAAGUAAUCAUCAGGGAAAAAAAAAUCAACAUCUGAAGAUCAGUUACCUUUAAAUAAGGUCUCAUAUAUCAAGAGCCAUCCAAAAUGUAUUUCUAGAUACUCACCCAUUCAUCUAUGACAAGACCUUCCCCAACUACACGGGGACCUGGAUCAGCUGGAGGUUUCUUACGUGCCUCUAUUGCAGCUUCAGCCUCGGCCAACUGACGCUUGAGUUUCUCCAAUGCCUGAAAAAACAAUUAAAUUAUAGGAAGUUAAAGAUGACUAGGAAAGCAAGAACAAAAAUGCAUAAAAAGAAUGUAUAAAGUAGGUUACUCUUACAGAAGUAGAGCGCUCCGGAUCCAAAAACACGACACGCAGAAUACGUUCCACCGUCACUUGAUCCUUUUGUUCAUCAAACUGCAAGAGUAGAAGUUGUCAAGAGUAGAAAAACUCUAUGGCUUGACGAUCCAAUAAGAGAAACUGCAAAAUAUACAGAUGGCAAUUCAGGGCAUGCAUAUCAUAACAAAGCAAAUGCAGCUGCCAAAAUAUUCUUCACAUAACUUGGGAUUAUCAACCUUCUGUUUUCUCAUUAACCACAUUUUGCAAUGCACGAUACCAUCGUCAGCCAUAGAAAGCAUUCUAUUACAUAUGCUGGCCAGAGGGAGGUAGCAAAAUGAAAUCAGCCCUUCAAAAUGCAGUAUUCCACCACAAAAAAAUUAUUAUUACAUGACUCUUUUGAUAUUGUGUCUAAAAGUACAAUGCAUCUGACAUAGAACUGAGACCUCAGAACAUAUCUUCCGUGACAUGGAACUGAUUCAUCUGCUAUCUUAAAAAGUAUAUGAGUUCACGACCCAUUGGAUCCAAAUUUCAUGAAAACUUAAGCGUUGACAUCACAGACGAAAUCCAAAAUGAUGGGAAAAAAGUGACUACAAAUAAAAGAUAUCAAAUCCUGAAAUAACUGCAAUAGGCAGCUUGAAGCAAUUAGGAAGACCAUGCACAAUUCGACGUUUUAAAAAAAAAAAAAAACACGCGAAUCUCCCUGUGUAAAAGUUCCCCAUGCACAUUUGCACGUUUAAGCAGUUUUGGAAGCAACUCAUUCUUAUGGACCCACAAACAACACCAUUAAGUAGCACGGCAAAGAUCAAAGGAAAACACAAAUAAACGACAAAUCUAAUAAUACGUGUAGUGCUAUGUGAGGCUAAUCACCAAAAACAGUCCAACAGAGUGAUAAGGGUCGGCAUUCAUGCAAAUCAGAAUGUAUGCGAUAUGCCAUCCCUCAGAUUGCAGUUGCUUUAGUUCUCAAAAACUUACCAACUCAGGCACAUAAUCUGUUCCUUGUUUCACUUUAAGACUCAUGAUCUUGAACUUGACCUUGCUCUUCUGCUCUGUUGGUUUCUCAUUAUUCUCUGGAUGCUCCACAAACUUGAAAACUGAAAACAAAAUCAAGUUGACGUAUAAGUCAAUGUAGAUAAUCCUUAUGCAGUAAGAAAACAGAUGCCUUCAUCUCUUUGGAUAUGAAUACUGAUACAGAAAACAGUGAAAAUAUGUGCAGAUAAGGUAAAAGCUAGCUAAUUACCAGUUGCAAUAAUGCUUUCUCCAGGUGCAAGGAUACCACCAGGCGGUCGCAUGUAACAGCUCUUUGGUGCAGUAGUUUGAAACUGCAAAUGUAAGAGAAAGCAAUCAUGAAUCUCACCAUUCUCCUUAAAUGGUUCGUAGAGAAAAUAAAGGAUCAUAAAAUGUUACCCUAACGACAAAAACAUGACAGAGAUCCUUUCUAAAUAGUUGUAUAAAGUUUCAAAUGGUGAUUUCAGGGGAAUGGGGGUAAUGAAGAGCCGCAUUAACAGCAUUUUACACAUCGACAGACUCUAAAUAAUUGUGGAAUAGGAAUAAUAAUUUUAAGAAAUGAUAGCAGUAAUAGACAUAAUUCACAACUCAAGUCACUUCAUGUAUACCAGAAAUAGAAAAAGGGAUAAGCACUUAACAAAGUACGAUUAAAAUCCAACAAAAACAAAGGAUAACAAAAAUACAUACCUUAAACGCUACAUGCGACUUGCUGGAGUUCUUAAUCCUAACAGCACUCCUCACCUGCUUCCCCGGUUCAUCUUCAAUUUUCACAAAGAGCAGAAGUAAACAUUCAAAUUCAAACGCUUUCCAAAUCAGAAAACCUAACAAAUGAUCAACUUAAUGCACUAAAAAGUUAAUAACAAUAAAUUUUUUAAUCUGAGUCAGUUUCCUUUCUUCAGAAUUAGAAUUCAAAUAUAAUCAACAAGCUAAGAAGCCAAAAGCCGGAUAAGACAGCGCACAAGGAAAGUAGAGAUUGUUAGCUGGAUCAAGGCGGAGGCGACGCCGAGCCGGUAACAAGGAUCUAGCCACAGAAGAAACGCUAUUAGCAGAGGACCCCGAGCUUAAGCCGACGCCACCGUUUUGCUGGCUGUGCUGACUGUUGGUUUGAAGAUUCUGAGUUGAUGACGAGGAUGAAGACGCCGUUCCCGAUUGCCAGAAAGGACACAGCCUCCACAACUUGCCGUCGUAGUGGCCUGACCGAUGACUGCUGUGGUCAGCGAUCGCCAUGCCAGAGCUCGCCGGAAUCUUACGUAAUAAUUCUCAGGCGGGUGGAGGUGGUCUACGGAUUAAAUUAGAUUUUAGCUUUCUACGAGUUUUUAACUUUUUAGUCAACACCCCUGGGUUGACUUAAAUAUUGGAGGAAAAACUAAAAAGGUCAGAGAAGUUGUUGAAAUUUGUUUGGGUUAAUUGGGUAUUUAUAUUUUAUGAAGUGAGAGAAUGGCUUCUUUCGUGUUUUGUUGAUGGGAGAAGAAAGCCGGACUCGAGUUGAGGAACUUAAUUGGAUUUGACACUUGUUAGUUGACAUCCGACUCACACUACACACGCAUGUGCACAAUCAUCGCUCACAUUACCAGGCAAGUUGUGUUGGGCGGAUCACGCAGAACUGCAGAAUAAAAACCCCAAAUUACUGCAGGAGUCCCCAGAUUUUGUAUGAUACCCCAAUUUGGUUCUUUUUUUAACAAUUUAGGAGUUUAAUGGGGCAAAGACAAAAUGAGCUUAAUAAACUCGAUUAAACUAAUUAAUACAAAGUUGGGCUCAAUUUCCUACUUGACUUCAUCAUUUAAAGAUAAAUUAUAAUUCAGAGAUCAUGAUCUCAAUCACCGUUCAGCUAAUCUAAUCUCAAACUUGCCAAUACGCAAAGUAAUACUAUAUGCUGUCUUGUAUAUUGGUUGGUUUGAUACUUAAAAAUACAUAAUUUUAUUCAGAGUUAAAAUUGAUUUUUCCCAAAAAAAAAAUGAAUGGGACUCAAUUAUUCAGUUUUCCUAUCUCAGUAAGCCAGCUCACGUGAAUCAUCACUACAUCUUCAACGAUUCGAGGUAUUGCAGGACUAAUGAAGUAUAUGCGUGAGUUUUGAUGCUACAUUUAUUAUUAUUAUUAUUAUUUGAAGCUAAAGUAAAUACCCAACUCUUCAUGCCAUUAACCAAAAUUAGUUUUUAGCCCUUUAAAAUUGUAAGUCGUAAUGAAUAUUUUAGUUCCCAGUCUUUUUGAAGCCAAAGGGAUAACCGGUUAUUUUUUUAAGACUGCUAAUUUUUAAGUCGUAAUAAAAUGGAGGGACUAGAUGAUAUUUUUACUUAAGAUGUUAAUCUUUACAGGGUACUGCUGUGGAAACUUUAGUGAUCAUUGCACUAAUUAUUCCUUAAAAAGAAAAAAUAAUGAUUUGCAGAGCUUUUAGCCAGUUGUUUAGGAAGCCAAAAAAAGCGAGGUUGAAAUGGGCCUAAGCUUUCCCUUACAAUGGUUUCAAGUUUAAUUAAUUUCCAUUUUCUGUGUAGUACUACUAACUUUUAGGUGUGCAAAUGAGUUGAGCUUAAUCGAGUAGAUCAUGAACUUGUUCAGUCAAAAUUCAAGCUAGACCAAGUUCAAACAACUCGCACUAUUUGAUGAGUCAAGUUCAAAUCUAAUAUAUAAAUUCGUUGAGUUUAAUCGAGCUUCACAUAUAUAUAUAUAUGUUUUCUUAAUUUUUUUAUUUAUUAGUCUAAAAUGUCUAUUUUAUCCCUUAUUUAAAUUUAUAUAAAAUAUAAAUUUAUAUUUCUUAAUUCCAAUUAGGCUCGAUUAAGUUCGAUUGGGCUGGAUAAGUAUGGGUUCAAGUUCAACCUUGAAUAAUGCAAAAUAAAAUCGAGUUCGAGCUCGAGUUUAACUUUUAAGAGCUUGACGAACUUGAGUUUGAAUCCAAAUUUUUUAAUUCGAGUUGAACUCGACUCAACUCGAUUACACCCUAUCUUGUUAUAGUAAUACAGAUUUCAAGCUUAAAUAGAAAGUUCAAAAGCUCGUUGAUACAUGCUGGGUCAAAUGGUUAGAUCACUUUCUUACAAAUUUUUUUUUUUUGUUUGUUUGUUUGAUUUUCAUUAUUAGUGUGAAGACUGUAUUGAUAGAAAAUUUGUAAGAACCCCUAUAAGCGAUUUAUAGUCUAAGGACAUGCUUUGAUUUGUGGCGGUGACCAGAGUCGAAUCCACCUAAAUUUUUUCCUACUGAGAAAAAAUUGACAUCUAAAUGUAGCUCAAGUGCUAUUGGGGAAGUUUUUUAAAAAAAAGAAAGAAAGGUGGCUAAAGUAAGCUAAUUUCAUCACUACUACUGCUUUUUUAAUUUCCUUUUCUUGUUGCAUGACUUCCUUAAUAAAAUUCUUCAAGAGAGAUCCCUUGCCCUACCCAUUUUAUGGUUCCUUAAGGGUAGGCCUGUCAACGGGUCGGGUCUAGACCCGGAUCCGGACCGGAUCCGUGAAAUUUUUGCGGGUAUGGGUAGAGAUUUAAUUCCGUUUCCCGGAUCCGGAUCCGUUUUGUCAAACAAAAAAACGGGUCGGGUACGGAAUAUAGUAUUUCGACCCGUUUUAGACCCGGAUCCGGAUAUAAAUGAAUUAAUAAUUUAAAAAAUAUAUAUUUAUCAAUAUAAUUUGAUUAGGGUGAUGUAUUUUAAUAAAGUUAAUUUGAUUUCUUUUCUUAUUUGAUUUUUUCUUUGCAUUAGUUAGAAAUUAGUUUACAAAUAUAUUUUUUUCUCAUUUUUAUUAGAAAUUAUAAAUUUUGGUAAAUUUGUUCGGGUAGACCCGGAUCCGGAUCCGGAACAUAGAAUAAAAGAUCCGUCGGGUAAACGGGUCGGAUCCGGAUCCGACAUAGUAAUUCGGGUCCGGGUCCGGAAUAAUGAAUUCCGGCCCGGAUCCGGCCCAUUGACAGCCCUACUUAAGGGCACCGGCGUGAUUUCAACAGUAUUUGCCAGUAAAUAUUUAUUACCUAAUAAAAAACUGAUCUGUAGUUAGGUUCCUGUUUUUGGGUGUAAUUCUAUAUAAUUGACUGAUGCGUUGUAAUUUGUAUAUAGUAUUUAGUAAUAAUAUAUUUGAAUAUAUAAUUAUAUAUAAUAUCAAAAUAUAAAUAUUAUAUAUAGGUAAUUAAAGGGUUAGAUCUAUAUCGAAUUUAAGUCUAAUGAGGGCCAAGUUUAGCUCAUAUUUAAUUCGGAUAUAUUUUUUAGGCCCAAACUUAGAUCGGCUUACUGAAAGAUUGGACUCAUCAAACUUUUUUUGGGGUUGAACGAGCCGAGUUCGGCUGAUCCAACCCCAUUGACAGUCCUAAUGGUCAGAUUCUUGUUUUUGGGUGUAAUUCUACACAUUGACUUCUCUAUGAUCAUUGUAGGAAGCAAGUAAAACCAAAAUCUACUACUAAUAUAGCGGCCUUUAUCAGCCACUGAAUUCAUACAAUACACACACACGCACACAAAAAAAAGGAAGGAAGGAAGGAAGGAAGGAAGGAAGCAACUUUAUCAAACUCAAUCAUGCAACUUAGCAGUGUCUCAUUUUUGGGGCUCUCUCUUUACCUUGCUACUACUUUUUCUGCCCCUUUUUGGUAAUGAAGGGUAGGAAGCACAGCAGCAACGAUUACUAGUAGAAAGAACGCAAAAAGUCGUUGAUUUAAAUGGGCCAAAUUGCAAAGGCAGCUGAUCAACGAUCAAUCAAUCAAGUGCCUAUGAAAUUGUUCACAUGCAACAACUCGUGCCCUUUUCAAUUAAAAGAAGUCACUGCAGAAAUCAGUGGAUUUGGUAAUGGGGGUAAAUAGUGGUAAUUAAGAUGUGUUGGGCAAUAAUUGUGGGAUAAUGCGAAGUAGUUGAGGUGGCUUAGUUGGGAAACGGAAAAGGAAAGGAAUUAGGUGUCGCUUGUCUGUUGCAUUUACUGUUGUCGGCUAGGUUUGUUGGCGUAGGUUUAGUUGGACGGUAGGAAUUGAUUACUAGACAAUUUAAUGGCAUUCUGAGGUGAACCUGGAAUUUGUCCCUUGAUCGAUUAUGCAAACGAGGUAAGUUUUCAUUUUCAAUCAGCCGUAAUUAUUAUUAUCGGUAUUAUGCCACGUGCAGGCUGGCCCAGUUUUAUUUCUUCCCCGUCAAAUUCGUGAAAUUUUUUUGAAAAAAGCCACAUCACAGUCUUUAAUAGUAGUUUUACCACAUUUUUGCACCUUUUAUUGACUAUUGCAUGACCAAAGUAAGGAAUAAUAAUGAUGAUGAUGAUAAUAAAAGCAUUAUUGUAUUUUUCUGGCUGAGACUUAUAAAUUGUAAUCAUACUACAACUUUAUAAGGCUACGGGCAUUUUCUUCCACUCACUCCAUACCAUUCUCAGAAAGUUACGUGGGCCUUGUGCGGUCAUAGAGUCAAGAAACUGGGAGAAGACUUUGAAUAUAGAAGAAUUAACCCAGAAAUACACAGCUUGUAUUGUAACCUCUGAAAUUUGCCAAAGAACAAACUAGGAAAUAUUGAGGCCCAAAUCACACACUAUAUUGGGCAGCAGCUUUUGACUACACGCGACUUGUUUAGGCUGCAGUAAAGUAGAAGAGGUCCACGACUGUGACGAUUGAUUGAGUUGUCACAUUCAUUUUUUUUGUAGAGCAGAGGAUAAUUACUCAUGGCGUCGUAUGUAGACGUGUGUGUUCAAUAUUCGAUUAUCAUGUCGCAUAAUUAACAGAAGACUAUGGGAGUUUUAUUUCUUUUAUAUAUAUAUAUAUAAUAAUAAUAGAAAAAUAGUACUUUUUUUUUUCAGAGACUGUAACUGUUGUAUAACCUAAUCUAUCUUACACUAAGGGAAGGGAACAGACUUAAGGAGGUCCAAGGGUAAUUCGAAGGAGACUGAAUCACCAUCGGAUCAGACGGAUACAUUACGCACCCGCCUGAAUUUUUUAAGUAAAGCCACUUUAAUGUGAUAAUUGGUGGGAGCACCCACCAAACUUUAAUACUUUGAUGGUGGCCAAAGGCUGGUGGUUAAUAGAAAAGUAGUACUUGCACUGAAUUACUUCAACCUUGCAAUAUCUCUUCUCUGCAUAAAACAGAAUGAAUACAAUACGGAUUAACAUGAUCUCACUCCAAGAUCUCAAAAACAAUAUCUUUAGCAAAUUUAACAUUAUUAGCACCUCUUUUUCACCCAAUUGCAAUUCGCAAUCAUGUGCUUCUUGGAGAAGAAACUUGGCAUACACAUUCGUCUUAUGUUAAAACACUUGAAUUUGAUAAAAUGAUCCAUCUCAAUUGAGAUGUUUAUGGAGAAGGCUCUUCUUUCUUAUUCACUACUCAGACUAAGCAGUAGUAGAUAGCUGCCUUUCACUAGAUUUCAUUUUAGAAAGCAGUCGUUAUUUGCACAUAUAUAUAUAUAUAUAUAUAUAUAAAGGAACUAGAUAGCAUUAGUUAGGUACCUAACUAACAUUUCCCAGAGAUUCACUUUCAGUCUUUCCUAAUGGCCAAGUUUAACAGAUAAAACAGAAAUUUUGAUAGUACAAGUUAGAGUUAUUCUUUAAAUGAUGACAGAAAAUUGGGGAGAAUCCAGCAGCGUAAUACCACCACUAUAAACAUAGGAACUUUACAGCUGGAAUAUUUAUUUGUUUGGAUUGUGAUUUUUCACAGAAAUUUUUUUAUCUUUUUCGUAAACACAUUUCUCAAUUAAUUUUUUACUUUACAUACAUCAAAUCAAAUCGCUAUAGUAUACAUAUAUAUAUUUUACAAAAAACUUUUAAAAACAGCAAUUCAAAUGGGAAUUUUCAAAGAUUUAUGGAAGGCCAUCCAUGGCUGUUUACCAUGCGUGGAGAACUCGAAAUGUAAGUAUUGUAUCAGAAUAAAUCUGCGUCUGCUACGGACGUUGUAAAUGCCGUCAUUGAUUUGAGGCCAUCCCACAUAUUGCUGCCUCUUGGAGGGGAGUGCCAAAGAUCAAGGAAAAUUGGAAGCUAGUUCACAUAUGUUUUGAGGGACAUUAUUAGCAUUUGUAUAGAUUACAUUAGGAAAAUUUUGAUGUAUGGGCAGGGCAGCCUCCUGCUAGAUGAUACUGUUUUAAAUCUUACCAGUCCUUAUCAAUAAAAUUCCCAAGUUUACUUGAAAAAAAGAAAAAAGCAGCAACAAAAACAAAGAUGAAUCAUGUAUGGAAGGCCGAUUAAACUGUUCUUUCGUUGAGAAAAAUUAUAGGCAAAAACUCCAAAAUUUUUGUUUCCAGUGAGACUUUCAUUGGUUAAAAAUUGCUUUGUCAAAUGUCAUAGUAUAUACUAGUUAUUUUAUUUCCCUUCUGUUACUGGCUUUUUCCAUUCCGGGCCGCUGCUAUUAAUACGACACCAAUUCUUCUCUCCUGCUAAAAAAUUUAUGGCUCCUUUAGGCUGAUUCUUUUUUUUUUGGGCUGAUCCUUUAGGCUGAUUCCACUUUUGUGAUUUUGAUUUUUUGAGUUACAUGCCCCAGCCCAACAACAUCUCCGGUAUUUCAAGUUUGAGUACUAUGAAUGCAAACGACUAAGCCCAUCAAGCCAUACUAAAUAUUAAUUUAUAUUCUAUAAUCAUAUCAAAGUUUUUCCUUACAAUGCCAAGGACUGAAUUGCUACGAGACUACAUACAACGCAAUAUGAUGUCUCACCCCCAAAAAAAAAUUUUCUUUGAACAUGAUGAGGGGGUAGGAGGAAGGGCCUAGUUGGGCCCCCAAAAGAUCAAAUGGAAGAGGCAUGCAGCCUUUUCUCCCUCCCUCUGCCUCUUUUCAUCAUGGGCCAAACCAGUCCUAAUAGUGUUCAAUUUCAUUUCGCCCGCGGCCGCAAUACUCCUCCCGGAGCUGCUUUUGCCAUCACCGGAGUACUCCAUCAGGAAAGCAUUCCUCUUCUGCUGCUCCAUGCUCUUGAAUGCUGCCUCAAGCUUGCAAACCCUUUUGUUACCACUCAUCUUUCUCAGCCUUUUCUUUCCCUUUUCCUUCGUUUUUUUCGUUUGGUCCACUAAAAAGUUGGAAAAAAAAAAAGGUAAUUGGAUCAGUGAUCGUGACUAUAUAUUAAGACUUGAGCUAAUUAGCUUCUGAUAGAGCAUUUCUGGCCAUGCCACAUGUAGGCAUAUUUAUAGAAGACUAGAAAGAGACACCAGAAAGAAAGACGCGUCUGGAAAGUUGGUGGGAGCAAGUUUUAGAAAAGAAAACAAGGGGUGAGAGAUCCUUGGUUUUCCUUCACUUUCAGCGGUUUUUACCAAAAUGUGGCAACCGGACCAUAGUUUGUUAGUAUAACUCUGCAUGUGCUUAAUUGUCUUUCCAUUAAAGUGAUUAUACCUUAGAACUUUACAACAUUGAAGUAGUAGACUAUUCUCCAGCAACGGCGGAUAGUUGCUGGUAACAAGGAAAGCCAACAGGGAUCGAUCAUUAGUUUAGUUACCCCACGAGUCUGACUUUAUCCAUGGAACAUGUACUAAUAACCUAAUAUUCUCAUUUGAUUUAAACACUUAAAUAUGAGAUCCAAAAUAUUUUUGUUUGGAUUAGCUGUUUUCUGGAGUGUUUUUGAAAUAUUUUAUUAUGGCAAUCUGUAUAAAUUUUUUUUAUUAUGGAUAUGUUUUGGUGAUGUUUUUUAAGGUAUUUUUGAAAUGUAUUUAAAAAUAUUUUUAAAGCUUAAAAAAUUAAAUCUACCACCCACCACCACCACCCCGUCUCUCCUUCCCCUACCUCUCCCCCUUCCUCCUCCCUUUCUUUCUUCUCUUCCUCCUUCAUUCUUCCCUUCCCAUUUCCUGUCACACCCCACCCUUCCCCUUCCCCUUCCCCUCCUUGAUGUGACGGGAAAUGGGAGAGAAAGGGAGGGGAGGAGGAAAGAGAAGGUGGAGAAAGAGGGAGAGAGAAUAGAGAGGGAAAGAAAAGGAGGAGAAGGAAGGAGAGGAUGGCGGUGGUGGUGGUGGUGGUGGGCGAUGGUGGUGAUAGAUGGAAGAAAAACAUAAUUUAGAUUUUAUUUUUUUUUUGUAUAUUUGAAAUUAUUUUUGAUAUAUUAUAUGGAUGUGAUAUUUUUGAAGGUGUUUUUAUUUAUAUAUUACUGUAGUAAUAUUGUAAAUGAAAAACUUGUUUUUCAAAAAAUGGAGAAUACAAACAAAGCCUAAUUAGUCGUUUUUAAGCUAGUUAUUUGAGUUUGAAAAUAUAUUUGAUAGGUAACCUCCGAAUUUUUGCUGAAAGUGGGAGGUGCCUUUGCAUGCUUGUUCCAAAAAAAAAUAAAAAAUACCUUCAACCAAAAAAUCCUCCUGCAUGCUCGUUUUUAUUACUACGUAGUAGGAAAGCGAAAUAAAGGAAAGAAAAAAUUAUUUUCCCAUGUAUGUUCGUUUUGAUAAGAAAAAAAAAAGAUAAUUAUUAUAAGUUAUAGAAAAUAUUGUGAAUGCUAAUAAUUUUCCUCCAAUAUACUGCAAAUUUUGUAAGACACAAAAUGCACGAAAAUGAAGAAAAUUUUGCUAAACUUUCUUACUAAUACUAUACAAACACCUGUAAAGGGCAAAAAUAACUAGUACUUCUCAAUUUUCAUACUUUAAGGACUCCUGAAAAUCGCUAUGGGCCCAAACCUGCAGGACUAGAGUCUCGCAGCCUGACUAUUUCUUUUAGAGGAAAGUCAUUAGAGAAUGGAGUUGUUGCCGUAAAACCAGAAUUAAGGUCAAUACACUUGCUUCGGUGGUUUCAUCCUCAAAGUCUCUUUCCUCCUCUUUCUUAUGAAGCGGUUUUGCCUUAAAUUCUCUCAAAAAAUUGAAAAUUUAAAAAGAACUUUUUUAGAUAGCACUGGUGUCUGUCUAAAAAAGUUCUGUUUUGUUUUUCGUUUAUACUUCACACCAUUUCAACCGUGCGAUCCUCUGAACUCACAGCCACAGGUUUCUAUUAUACAAGACUCACAACUCAACUACGGCUCUAAGAUAUUAUGAAAGGCUUCUUUCUUUCUUUUUUUUUUCAAUAAAUGUUUUGAACCUUUUCUUUUUCUUCUGGAGUUUGAUAUUUGAGCCUUCCACGAAUUGAAAAUUGAUUGCAUAUAAUGAUAACUCUCUUUCUUUAACUCUUUUUUCGAACCAUCUUCUACGUAAUUCUUUCUCCCAAUAGUAAAAAAAAAAAAAAAAAGGACACAAAUAAAAAUGAAACAAGAAGUAAAAGUUCAAAGAAGAGCAAAAUGGACCAAAGCCUGCAAAUGAUAUUCGUUGUCUUACAAUAAUAUAACAAAUUGUCAGGAUAUAUCAUAUGUUUUCUGAAAAAAAGAAAAAAAAAAGGAAGAAGAAGCUAAAAUCUAAUAGUACUAGGACCCCAACUACUCAAAUGCAUUACUUUCUUCACAGAGUUUUCUCUUCUUGGCGUCUUCUCUACUUCCCUAACCAAGAGAGAUGGCAAAACGGAGCGGGUAGUCAGGGCCUGAUGGUACCAAGAAGCAUGGCGUUGGAGCGGCAUCAAGGGGCGGCUACCUUGAUCUUUGAGAACCAUACCCACGGCUGCUCCUAUGCUCCCACCAACAACCAAGGCCUUUGCAUGCAGUUGCAUUCAUUCUUCCAAUAUUUGUUCUAGUAUAAUUAAUAUUGCAGAAUUAGUAUGAUUGAGAAGGUGGUAUUUCGUAUUGCUUGAGAAGAAAAUAGAUGGAUGAAAAGGUUUGUGAUUAAGGCUGAGAAAGGGACUAUGCGUAUAUAUAGGACAGGUGUAGAGAACAUGGCACGUGAGACAAAAGUUAGGCAUACU